This 253-nucleotide ribosomal RNA is filed under the name uncultured bacterium. RNAcentral describes it as "partial 16S ribosomal RNA". It matches the Rfam family "Bacterial small subunit ribosomal RNA", at positions 524 to 776 of the family's 1533-position model. The record is from RNAcentral.
UACAGGGGGGGCAAGCGUUGUUCGGAAUUACUGGGCGUAAAGAGCUCGUAGGUGGUUUGUCGCGUUGUUCGUGAAAACCGGGGGCUUAACCCUCGGCGUGCGGGCGAUACGGGCAGACUUGAGUACUGCAGGGGAGACUGGAAUUCCUGGUGUAGCGGUGGAAUGCGCAGAUAUCAGGAGGAACACCGGUGGCGAAGGCGGGUCUCUGGGCAGUAACUGACGCUGAGGAGCGAAAGCGUGGGGAGCGAACAGG